Molecule: ribosomal RNA, 189 nt
Filed under: uncultured fungus
Lineage: Eukaryota; Fungi
Description: partial large subunit ribosomal RNA
Rfam family: Eukaryotic large subunit ribosomal RNA
Source: RNAcentral
AUAUCAAUAAGCGGAGGAAAAGAAACCAACAGGGAUUGCCUCAGUAGCGGCGAGUGAAGCGGCAAAAGCUCAGAUUUGAAAUCCGGCGUGGUCCCCUCGCCCGAGUUGUAAUCUGGAGAGGAAGCCCCGGUGAGGCCGGCCGUCCAAGUUCCUUGGAACAGGACGUCCUCAGGAGGGUGAGCCACCCCG